ACGGGAAUAGUUCAACGGUAGAAUAGAGGUCUCCAAAACCUUUGAUCGUGGUUCGAAUCCGCGUUCCCGUGCUA
RNAcentral lists this transfer RNA (74 nucleotides) under Taibaiella soli. RNAcentral describes it as "tRNA-Trp". It matches the Rfam family "tRNA". Rfam says of the family: Transfer RNA (tRNA) molecules are approximately 80 nucleotides in length. Their secondary structure includes four short double-helical elements and three loops (D, anti-codon, and T loops). Further hydrogen bonds mediate the characteristic L-shaped molecular structure. tRNAs have two regions of fundamental functional importance: the anti-codon, which is responsible for specific mRNA codon recognition, and the 3' end, to which the tRNAs corresponding amino acid is attached (by aminoacyl-tRNA synthetases). tRNAs cope with the degeneracy of the genetic code in two manners: having more than one tRNA (with a specific anti-codon) for a particular amino acid; and 'wobble' base-pairing, i.e. permitting non-standard base-pairing at the 3rd anti-codon position. Lineage: Bacteria; Pseudomonadati; Bacteroidota; Chitinophagia; Chitinophagales; Chitinophagaceae. The record is from RNAcentral.